RNAcentral lists this ribosomal RNA (716 nucleotides) under uncultured Escherichia sp. RNAcentral's name for it is "bacterial SSU rRNA". It matches the Rfam family "Bacterial small subunit ribosomal RNA", at positions 65 to 776 of the family's 1533-position model. Lineage: Bacteria; Pseudomonadati; Pseudomonadota; Gammaproteobacteria; Enterobacterales; Enterobacteriaceae. The record is from RNAcentral.
AACAGGAAACAGCUUGCUGUUUCGCUGACGAGUGGCGGACGGGUGAGUAAUGUCUGGGAAACUGCCUGAUGGAGGGGGAUAACUACUGGAAACGGUAGCUAAUACCGCAUAACGUCGCAAGACCAAAGAGGGGGACCCUCGGGCCUCUUGCCAUCGGAUGUGCCCAGAUGGGAUUAGCUUGUUGGUGGGGUAACGGCUCACCAAGGCGACGAUCCCUAGCUGGUCUGAGAGGAUGACCAGCCACACUGGAACUGAGACACGGUCCAGACUCCUACGGGAGGCAGCAGUGGGGAAUAUUGCACAAUGGGCGCAAGCCUGAUGCAGCCAUGCCGCGUGUAUGAAGAAGGCCUUCGGGUUGUAAAGUACUUUCAGCGGGGGGGAAGGGAGUAAAGUUAAUACCUUUGCUCAUUGACGUUACCCGCAGAAGAAGCACCGGCUAACUCCGUGCCAGCAGCCGCGGUAAUACGGAGGGUGCAAGCGUUAAUCGGAAUUACUGGGCGUAAAGCGCACGCAGGCGGUUUGUUAAGUCAGAUGUGAAAUCCCCGGGCUCAACCUGGGAACUGCAUCUGAUACUGGCAAGCUUGAGUCUCGUAGAGGGGGGUAGAAUUCCAGGUGUAGCGGUGAAAUGCGUAGAGAUCUGGAGGAAUACCGGUGGCGAAGGCGGCCCCCUGGACGAAGACUGACGCUCAGGUGCGAAAGCGUGGGGAGCAAACAGG